RNAcentral lists this non-coding RNA (30 nucleotides) under Rattus norvegicus (Norway rat). Lineage: Eukaryota; Metazoa; Chordata; Mammalia; Rodentia; Muridae. The record is from RNAcentral.
UAGCCUUGCGCUACCCGUCUAAGAGAUAGC